ACGGGAGGCAGCAGUGGGGGAUAUUGGACAAUGGGGGGAACCCUGAACGAGCAAUGCCGCGUGAGCGAAGAAGGUCUUCGGAUCGUAAAGCUCUGUUGUAAGAGAAAAAUGAUGCAUAUAGGAAAUGAUAUGCAGGUGAUGGUAUCUUACCAGAAAGUCACGGCUAACUACGUGCCAGCAGCCGCGGUAAUACGUAGGUGGCGAGCGUUAUCCGGAAUGAUUGGGCGUAAAGGGUGCGUAGGUGGCACGAUAAGUCUGAAGUCAAAGCUGGCAGCUCAAUUGUCAUACGCUUUGGAAACUGUCGAGCUAGAGUGCAGGAGAGGGCGAUGGAACUCCAUGUGUAGCGGUAAAAUGCGUAGAUAUAUGGAAGAACACCAGUGGCGAAGGCGGUCGCCUGGCCUGUAACUGACGCUGAGGCACGAAAGCGUGGGGAGCAAACAGGAUUAGAUACCCUGGUA
RNAcentral lists this ribosomal RNA (458 nucleotides) under uncultured Eubacterium sp. RNAcentral's name for it is "partial 16S ribosomal RNA". It matches the Rfam family "Bacterial small subunit ribosomal RNA", at positions 341 to 792 of the family's 1533-position model. The record is from RNAcentral. Lineage: Bacteria; Bacillati; Bacillota; Clostridia; Eubacteriales; Eubacteriaceae.